GGCCCGGUAGAUCAAUGGUGAGAUCACCUGCCUGUCACGCAGGAUGUUGCGGGUUCGAGUCCCGUUCGGGCCG
RNAcentral lists this transfer RNA (73 nucleotides) under Caldibacillus debilis GB1. It matches the Rfam family "tRNA". Rfam says of the family: Transfer RNA (tRNA) molecules are approximately 80 nucleotides in length. Their secondary structure includes four short double-helical elements and three loops (D, anti-codon, and T loops). Further hydrogen bonds mediate the characteristic L-shaped molecular structure. tRNAs have two regions of fundamental functional importance: the anti-codon, which is responsible for specific mRNA codon recognition, and the 3' end, to which the tRNAs corresponding amino acid is attached (by aminoacyl-tRNA synthetases). tRNAs cope with the degeneracy of the genetic code in two manners: having more than one tRNA (with a specific anti-codon) for a particular amino acid; and 'wobble' base-pairing, i.e. permitting non-standard base-pairing at the 3rd anti-codon position. The record is from Rfam by way of RNAcentral. Lineage: Bacteria; Bacillati; Bacillota; Bacilli; Caryophanales; Bacillaceae.